Engraulis encrasicolus (European anchovy) is the source of this 555-nucleotide long non-coding RNA. RefSeq lists it as uncharacterized. NCBI's taxonomy places the organism in Eukaryota, Metazoa, Chordata, Actinopteri, Clupeiformes, Engraulidae. The record is from RefSeq and is a predicted model, not a curated record. The transcript has 4 exons.
CUCUAACCAGAGAUACAACACUGCCGAAUGUCUCCAUAGGAAUAAACGGUGUGAAAUCGUAACGCCAAAACGUCGAAUGCCUGCUUAUCUCCCGCCUACUUGGCAACAAGAGCCAAUCGGUUGCUGAGCUGCGCGGUCAUUGAUCCAAUCAUCUCGACGCCUCGACGCAAGCGCAAACAUAAACCUUUACGACUGCUCGUACCUAAUCGGUUUGUUUGCUGGUGGCCAUGUGGUUUGUUUGCCGUCCGUGGAAACUUCAGCCAGAGAGACAGCUGUUUUGAAAAUCUUCUCAUGGACGAAGAGCAGUGGCUCCAGGUUGCUUGAUGUGCCUACAUGCUCCUCUGGAUCCUCCUUGGUGUCCAUAGUCUUUGGAAGUGAUCAAGAUUCCACGCCACCACCAUCAUUAUGUGUUGGAAAACAGCAGAUGGCCUGGAACUUGUGAAGAAAUCAUAUGCACUGCACUCAAGUACUGUUGUGGGGUGACCUGUUGCCUGACAAGGAUGGGGACAGCACCUGGAGUCAGACGUGUUCUUUGACCCUUGAAGAGAAAACGAC